This 208-nucleotide long non-coding RNA is filed under the name Carica papaya (papaya). Its description in RNAcentral is "long non-coding RNA (CPAP_LNC000969)". Lineage: Eukaryota; Viridiplantae; Streptophyta; Magnoliopsida; Brassicales; Caricaceae. The record is from RNAcentral.
CAGCCUUGUUAUCUCCCCUCCAAUUCGGUCUCCAAUUGGAAUUUUGGGCCGAGUAAGUGUUGGCUUGCCUUGUGUUCCCCUUUCUCUUUAAUUGUCUUUCAAUCUUUAUAGCCAUGUGCACCAUAUCAUCAAUCUCCACAUGAUGUUGAAGCUCUACAAUGUUGGCUAUGUCUUUGUUAAGGCCAUUUAAGAACCUUGCCAUAGUAGC